CAGUCCCUUUAAAAAAACGAUUUACCGGUUUGUGUCAUUUCUUUUAUUUUGAAGGCGUUCUUUCCGGUGUCAUGGUGUGGCGGGUAACUUGACGUCACUCCGCUCUGGACGAGCUGUGAUUCGUGGUGGAGCUGAUAGAGCUGGAGGAGGAGUUCAUGGUGGAGCUGUGUGAAUGUGUGAAUGUGGGAAUGUUUGCGGUUUGAUAACAAACUUGUGAUGAACUUUCUGAGGUUUUUAUCUCCUUCCGGAAACUGAAAGUUCUUUAGUUAUCAGUUUGUUCUUCAGUCCGAGUCCUCCUCCAUGAAUCCAGAGUUUUAUCCUCCAGACUCUCUCUGCUCUCUGCUGGAGGACCUGCUGCUCCGGCUGCUAGAGAGGCUCCAGUGAGAGGAGAGCUGAGCCGAACCGAGCCGAACCGAGCCGAACUAACCCGGUUAAUGUGAGCGACGGUUUAAAACAUCCAGGACAGGAAUAAUGAGAAGAUGAAGCAGAUUCUGUGGAUUCUGGUGUUUCUCCUGCGGAGUCCGGACCGGAGCUGCUGGGACGGUGUGCUGUUCACGAAGCAUCCGUCCAAUCAGACGGUGUCUCAGGGGAACGCCGCGAGGCUCGGCUGUGCCGUUCAGGGUGCGACGGAGCCGGACAUCAUCUGGAUGAAGGACGGAGAGAAACUCUACAGCACCGACCAGAUGUUCAUCACCCUGGGAGAGCAGCACUGGGAGACCUACCACAGGUUCACCAAUCAAUACGUCUAUCAAUAUAUCAAUACAUCAAUCAAUACGUCUAUCAAUAUAUCAAUACAUCAAUCAAUACCUCUAUCAAUAUAUCAAUACAUCAAUCAAUACCUCUAUCAAUAUAUCAAUACGUCAACCAGUCAAUAUAUCUAUCAAUAUAUCAAUACAUCAAUCAAUACGUCUAUCAAUAUAUCAAUACAUCAAUCAGUCAAUAUAUCAAUCAAUUAAGCAAUGUAAGUACAACAGAAUCUGAGGCAAUAUUGGUCUGAUAACAUAUGAUAAAAGUCCUCCAGCUGUUUCACAGUAAAAGUCCUCCAGCUGUUUCACAGUAAAAGUCCUCCAGCUGUUUCACAGUAAAAGUCCUCCAGCUGUUUCACAGUAAAAGUUUUCCAGCUGUU
Molecule: long non-coding RNA, 1126 nt
Organism: Sebastes umbrosus (honeycomb rockfish)
Lineage: Eukaryota; Metazoa; Chordata; Actinopteri; Perciformes; Sebastidae
Exons: 2
Source: RefSeq, a predicted model, not a curated record